ACGACUACAUAUCAGGCAUAUCAAUAAGCGGAGGAAAAGAAACUAACUAGGAUUCCCUUAGUAACGGCGAGUGAAGCGGGAAGAGCUCAAAUUUGAAAUCUUCAAGGUUCUACCUUGACGAAUUGUAGUUUAUAAGAAGUGUUUUCUGUUAGUGGAGUGGCAAAAGUUCUUGGAAUAGGACAUCAUAGAGGGUGAGAAUCCCGUAUUUGAUCAUUUCUUCUAGCUGUGUGAUACACUUUCAAAGAGUCGGAUUGUUUGGGAAUGCAGUCCAAAAUGGGUGGUAAAUUUCAUCUAAAGCUAAAUAUUGGCGAGAGACCGAUAGCGAACAAGUACCGUGAGGGAAAGAUGAAAAGAACUUUGAAAAGAGAGUUAAACAGUACGUGAAAUUGUCAAAAGGGAAGCGUUUGACACCAGUGUUGUUUUCUCGAAAAUCAAUUAAAAAUGACCGGAUUUUGUGUUGUAUUGACUUUAUCAGCUUUCUGCACUUUUUUCCUAUCUUUUUUAAUGCACUUUUCGUUUAACAAGUCAACAUCAAUUUCUUUUGUUGUAAAAGAGUCAUUGGAAGGUGGCUUUCUUUUCGGAGAAAGUGUUUAUAGCCUUUGACUUCUGCAAUCGGAGAGAUUGAGGUCUGCAGCGUAGAUCCUUCGGGGUUAGAUAGCAUUUGUGCUAAGUUAUAGCCUUUCAUAGACAACUUGUUGACUAUGAUUAAGUCAUGUAGCUUACUCGCUUAUGCUAUUUUACCUACGCUUAGGAUGUUGACGCGCGUGUGUGCGUG
Molecule: ribosomal RNA, 775 nt
Filed under: uncultured Neocallimastigales
Lineage: Eukaryota; Fungi; Neocallimastigomycota; Neocallimastigomycetes; Neocallimastigales
Description: partial large subunit ribosomal RNA
Rfam family: Eukaryotic large subunit ribosomal RNA
Source: RNAcentral